ACGUAGGGGGCGAGCGUUGUCCGGAUUCAUUGGGCGUAAAGCGCGCGCAGGCGGCAGCCGGAGCCCGGCGUGAAAGCUCCCAGCUUAACUGGGAGAGGUCGUCGGGGACCCGGCCGCUGGAGGCCGGUAGGGGUGAGCGGAAUUCCGGGUGUAGCGGUGGAAUGCGUAGAGAUCCGGAAGAACACCAGUGGCGAAGGCGGUCUGCUGGGCAGUGGGAGCUUUGGCUCCCGUUAAGCCGACACUGAGGCGCGACAGCGUGGGGAGCAAACAGGA
RNAcentral lists this ribosomal RNA (273 nucleotides) under uncultured prokaryote. RNAcentral's name for it is "partial 16S ribosomal RNA". It matches the Rfam family "Bacterial small subunit ribosomal RNA", at positions 525 to 777 of the family's 1533-position model. The record is from RNAcentral.